This 673-nucleotide ribosomal RNA is filed under the name Serratia sp. M24T3A. RNAcentral's name for it is "bacterial SSU rRNA". It matches the Rfam family "Bacterial small subunit ribosomal RNA", at positions 56 to 719 of the family's 1533-position model. The record is from RNAcentral. Lineage: Bacteria; Pseudomonadati; Pseudomonadota; Gammaproteobacteria; Enterobacterales; Yersiniaceae.
UGCAGUCGAGCGGCAGCGGGAAGUAGCUUGCUACUUUGCCGGCGAGCGGCGGACGGGUGAGUAAUGUCUGGGGAUCUGCCCGAUGGAGGGGGAUAACUACUGGAAACGGUAGCUAAUACCGCAUAACGUCGCAAGACCAAAGUGGGGGACCUUAGGGCCUCACACCAUCGGAUGAACCCAGAUGGGAUUAGCUAGUAGGUGAGGUAAUGGCUCACCUAGGCGACGAUCCCUAGCUGGUCUGAGAGGAUGACCAGCCACACUGGAACUGAGACACGGUCCAGACUCCUACGGGAGGCAGCAGUGGGGAAUAUUGCACAAUGGGCGCAAGCCUGAUGCAGCCAUGCCGCGUGUGUGAAGAAGGCCUUCGGGUUGUAAAGCACUUUCAGCGGGGAGGAAGGGGAUGAUGUCAAUAGCAUCGUUCAUUGACGUUACCCGCAGAAGAAGCACCGGCUAACUCCGUGCCAGCAGCCGCGGUAAUACGGAGGGUGCGAGCGUUAAUCGGAAUUACUGGGCGUAAAGCGUACGCAGGCGGUUUGUUAAGUCAGAUGUGAAAUCCCCGGGCUUAACCCGGGAACUGCAUUUGAAACUGGCAGGCUAGAGUCUCGUAGAGGGGGGUAGAAUUCCAGGUGUAGCGGUGAAAUGCGUAGAGAUCUGGAGGAAUACCGGUGGCGAA